RNAcentral lists this ribosomal RNA (408 nucleotides) under uncultured bacterium. Its description in RNAcentral is "partial 16S ribosomal RNA". It matches the Rfam family "Bacterial small subunit ribosomal RNA", at positions 28 to 526 of the family's 1533-position model. The record is from RNAcentral.
GACGAACGCUGGCGGCGUGCUUUACACAUGCAAGUCGAACGAAGUGGCGAACGGGUGAGUAACGCGUAAUCAACCUGCCCUUCAGCGGGGGACAACAGUUGGAAACGACUGCUAAUACCGCAUACUGAAGGACGAGAUUGCGUCUGAUUGGCUAGGUGGAUGGGUAACGGCCCACCAAGGCGAUGAUCAGUAGCCGGUCUGAGAGGAUGAACGGCCACAAUGGGAAUGAGGCAAGGCCCAGACUCCUACGGGAGGCAGCGGUGGGGAAACAGUCGAAAUGGAGGAAAGUCUGACGGAGCACCGCCGCGGGAGUGAUGACGGCCUUCGGGUUGUAAAGCUAUGUUAAUCGGGACGCGGUACCGGAAUAGAAAGCCACGGCUAACUACGUGCCAGCAGCCGCGGUAAUUC